GGUUGAUCCUGCCAGUAGUCAUAUGCUUGUCUCAAAGAUUAAGCCAUGCAUGUCUAAGUAUAAGCUGACUUAUACUGUGAAACUGCGAAUGGCUCAUUAAAUCAGUUAUAGUUUAUUUGAUGGUUCUUUACUACUUGGAUACCCGUAGUAAUUCUAGAGCUAAUACAUGCGCACAUCCCGACUUCUGGAAGGGACGUAUUUAUUAGAUAAAAGGCCAGCCGAGCUUGCUCGACUUUCGGUGAAUCAUGAUAACUCCACGAAUCGCAUGGCCUUGCGCCGGCGAUGUUUCAUU
RNAcentral lists this ribosomal RNA (292 nucleotides) under uncultured eukaryote. Its description in RNAcentral is "partial 18S ribosomal RNA". It matches the Rfam family "Eukaryotic small subunit ribosomal RNA", at positions 6 to 299 of the family's 1831-position model. The record is from RNAcentral.